UAAAUGACUCUCGGCAACGGAUAUCUCGGCUCACGCAUCGAUGAAGAACGUAGCAAAAUGCGAUACUUGGUGUGAAUUGCAGAAUCCCGUGAACCAUCGAGUUUUUGAACGCAAGUUGCGCCCGAAGCCUUCUGGUUGAGGGCACGUCUGCCUGGGCGUCAUGC
This 164-nucleotide ribosomal RNA is filed under the name Arnica sachalinensis. Its description in RNAcentral is "5.8S ribosomal RNA". It matches the Rfam family "5.8S ribosomal RNA". Rfam says of the family: 5.8S ribosomal RNA (5.8S rRNA) is a component of the large subunit of the eukaryotic ribosome. It is transcribed by RNA polymerase I as part of the 45S precursor that also contains 18S and 28S rRNA. Functionally, it is thought that 5.8S rRNA may be involved in ribosome translocation. Lineage: Eukaryota; Viridiplantae; Streptophyta; Magnoliopsida; Asterales; Asteraceae. The record is from RNAcentral.